UUAUUUCAACACCAUUCAGUUUGUAUAUGCUCGGCAUUGGUUUAUUUUUUCUGCUGGGCUUUCAAAUGAGCAUUAUGAGGUCUGUUUUUUAAUUUCAAUACCUGCUGGUGGCAAUACUUGUUGUGUUUGCUCGGCAAUGAUUCAUUCAAAUGAGGUUCAUUUCUUCUGUUGUGUUUACAAAUGAGAUUUUUUUUUUUUUGUAUAAAUUGGUGGCAAUACCUGCAAUACCUUAUUAUGACGACUCAAAAAAUGUGCUUUUGCUUUCUCUAAUAAUGUCGUUUGAGCACAUUUCUUGUAUUAAUUUAUGUCUGAUAUCUCUCGGAAGUGAGGGUUUCUAUAGGGUGGCACAUUCAAUGUUGUGCCCCUGGAAUUAUGGGGAUUUUAUGAACACUGGUUUUGUUUGGCAGUAAUUAUGGUGGUAUGGAAAAAGCCUGUUGAUAUUUUUGUAAGAUAGAAGAAAUGAUUCGAGUUUUUACUUUGAACUUAUCUAAUUAUAUAUCACAAUAUAUUUGCAAUGUGGUUGCUUCAGGUUUGCUUUGCAAUGCUGGAAUAUGAAAGACACGCAACUGUUUUCUUAUUGAUGAUGGUUGGCAAUAGAUAUAAUGAAAGUAAUUUCGGUGAUAAUUAUGGUUCUCCAUAUAACGGAUUGUUCUAUCGAAAAUGAGCUCAAGCACUUCAACAAGCGCCAGGGGGAGCGAACACCGACCGAUUUUCUGUGAUUGCAAUCUAUUAUGUGUCAUUUUCACCGCUCAAAAAGGAGACAAUGUAGGAUGAAAAUUUUAUAGGUGUCCAAAGAAUUUAAUAAAUAGAGAUUGCAAAUUCUUCCAGUGGGUUAAUGAACCUAGAGAUGCACCACAGGAGCAAGCUGACGAGAGAAUAUAUGCAGUUGAUGACACGUUAAAAAAUGAUGUUAGUGACUUGAAGUUUCUUGUGAAGAAUUUAGUUUUGUUCAAUUUUGUGAUUGUAGCAAUGCUUUUGUCGUUGUUUAGCGGUGUAUCUAUUUUGAUUAUGUACUUGUAUUCUUGAUAACAAACUCCACUGUAUCAAGCUUCUAUCUUGUAAGAAAACUUUU
Phalaenopsis equestris is the source of this 1072-nucleotide long non-coding RNA. RefSeq lists it as uncharacterized. Lineage: Eukaryota; Viridiplantae; Streptophyta; Magnoliopsida; Asparagales; Orchidaceae. The transcript has 3 exons. The record is from RefSeq and is a predicted model, not a curated record.